AUAAUAGGAGUAUGAAGUAGUAUAUUUGUCUUCCAAACAAAAGGCCUAAGGUUAGCUAUUAUA
This 63-nucleotide transfer RNA is filed under the name Corbicula fluminea. RNAcentral's name for it is "tRNA-Gly". Lineage: Eukaryota; Metazoa; Mollusca; Bivalvia; Venerida; Cyrenidae. RNAcentral also lists the same sequence under 1 other name. The record is from RNAcentral.